RNAcentral lists this long non-coding RNA (649 nucleotides) under Chinchilla lanigera (long-tailed chinchilla). RNAcentral describes it as "lncRNA (ENSCLAG00000025047.1)". The record is from RNAcentral. Lineage: Eukaryota; Metazoa; Chordata; Mammalia; Rodentia; Chinchillidae.
UCUGAAGCCAGCCUGAACAUUUCCUGCUUUAAUUUAAUGUGUCAUCUGUGUCAGAAUGGCUGAAACCUUCUUCAAUGUUGGACUUCAGUGACAAUCAAAAUUUGACUCAGAGUGGGCGAGUAUCAGACAAAUAUUUGUCUUUGCGAAGAUUCAGAGCAACAAAAACACAUCGCAUGUCUACUCCGUCCCGGGCACUCCAUGCUGUGUGGACACUGAGGACAAGCUUGAAGCCUUGGAAGUCCCAUGGAAGGAGGUUGAAUUCAUAAAAUCACAGAAAAUGUUUAGACAGAGAGGUUCCACAGCGGGAGUUUCAAGAGAGCCCACGGUACGCGGCCCAGAGGAGGCUGCCCACCCGGGUGCCACAGCGAGGCGUAGAAGAACGGAGAACACCUGGGGAGACAGAGGAGUGGCAUCCAACCUUGCAGGUGUUUCUAAGGCAAGAUGCCCCGUAUGCUUUUCUAAGGCACAGCAUCUAUUCUUAUAGAAGUGUGGUGGAAAAUGAGAAUUCCCAUGUAAAAAUUCCACACCUUGGGGGCUGGGGAUUUAGCUCAGCGGCAAAGCGCCUACCUGGCAAGCGCAAGGUCGUGAGUUCGGUUCCCAGUACCGGAGAAAAACAAAAAAUAAAUAAAUAAAUAAAAAUUCCACACCU